CCAAACUUGGUCAUUUAGAGGAAGUAAAAGUCGUAACAAGGUCUCCGUUGGUGAACCAGCGGAGGGAUCAUUACAGAGUUACUAUAAAACUCCCAACCCUUUGUGAACCUUACCGUCGUUUCCUCGGCGGCGAGCCGCGCGUCGGAAUUCAGAAGGAGCUACCCUGGAGCCACCUACCCUGUAGGUGGCUACCCUGGAGCUACCGUAUGGAGUGGACGCGCCGGCCCCGUCGAUGGACCAGACCAAACUCUUUGUCUAUAUACUACGUGUCUCUGAACAACCGAAACAAAAAAUUCGUUAAAACUUUCAACAACGGAUCUCUUGGUUCUGGCAUCGAUGAAGAACGCAGC
Molecule: unclassified non-coding RNA, 350 nt
Filed under: uncultured fungus
Lineage: Eukaryota; Fungi
Description: partial contains small subunit ribosomal RNA, internal transcribed spacer 1, and 5.8S ribosomal RNA
Rfam family: Eukaryotic small subunit ribosomal RNA (bases 1-73)
Source: RNAcentral